GACGAACGCUGGCGGCGUGCUUAACACAUGCAAGUCGAACGGAAAGGCCCUGCUUGCAGGGUGCUCGAGUGGCGAACGGGUGAGUAACACGUGGGUGAUCUGCCCCUUACUUUGGGAUAAGCCUGGGAAACUGGGUCUAAUACUGGAUAGGACCAUGCUGGAGGUGGUGUGGUGGAAAGAUUAGUUUCGGUAAGGGAUGAGCUCGCGGCCUAUCAGCUUGUUGGUGGGGUAAUGGCCUACCAAGGCGUCGACGGGUAGCCGGCCUGAGAGGGUGGACGGCCACAUUGGGACUGAGAUACGGCCCAGACUCCUACGGGAGGCAGCAGUGGGGAAUAUUGCACAAUGGGCGCAAGCCUGAUGCAGCGACGCCGCGUGGGGGAUGACGGCCUUCGGGUUGUAAACUCCUUUCAGCCAUGACGAAGCCCUUGUGGUGACGGUAGUGAUAGAAGAAGCACCGGCUAACUACGUG
RNAcentral lists this ribosomal RNA (469 nucleotides) under uncultured bacterium. Its description in RNAcentral is "partial 16S ribosomal RNA". It matches the Rfam family "Bacterial small subunit ribosomal RNA", at positions 28 to 507 of the family's 1533-position model. The record is from RNAcentral.